This 2800-nucleotide ribosomal RNA is filed under the name Klebsiella pneumoniae. RNAcentral describes it as "partial 23S ribosomal RNA". It matches the Rfam family "Bacterial large subunit ribosomal RNA". The record is from RNAcentral. Lineage: Bacteria; Pseudomonadati; Pseudomonadota; Gammaproteobacteria; Enterobacterales; Enterobacteriaceae.
AACCGGCGAUGUCCGAAUGGGGAAACCCAGUGCAAUUCGUUGCACUAUCGUUAACUGAAUACAUAGGUUAACGAGGCGAACCGGGGGAACUGAAACAUCUAAGUACCCCGAGGAAAAGAAAUCAACCGAGAUUCCCCCAGUAGCGGCGAGCGAACGGGGAGCAGCCCAGAGUCUGAAUCAGCUUGUGUGUUAGUGGAACGGUCUGGAAAGUCCGACGGUACAGGGUGAUAGUCCCGUACACCAAAAUGCACAGGCUGUGAACUCGAAGAGUAGGGCGGGACACGUGGUAUCCUGUCUGAAUAUGGGGGGACCAUCCUCCAAGGCUAAAUACUCCUGACUGACCGAUAGUGAACCAGUACCGUGAGGGAAAGGCGAAAAGAACCCCGGCGAGGGGAGUGAAAAAGAACCUGAAACCGUGUACGUACAAGCAGUGGGAGCACCUUCGGGUGUGACUGCGUACCUUUUGUAUAAUGGGUCAGCGACUUAUAUUCUGUAGCAAGGUUAACCGUAUAGGGGAGCCGCAGGGAAACCGAGUCUUAACUGGGCGUUAAGUUGCAGGGUAUAGACCCGAAACCCGGUGAUCUAGCCAUGGGCAGGUUGAAGGUUGGGUAACACUAACUGGAGGACCGAACCGACUAAUGUUGAAAAAUUAGCGGAUGACUUGUGGCUGGGGGUGAAAGGCCAAUCAAACCGGGAGAUAGCUGGUUCUCCCCGAAAGCUAUUUAGGUAGCGCCUCGUGAAUUCAUCUUCGGGGGUAGAGCACUGUUUCGGCUAGGGGGUCAUCCCGACUUACCAACCCGAUGCAAACUACGAAUACCGAAGAAUGUUAUCACGGGAGACACACGGCGGGUGCUAACGUCCGUCGUGAAGAGGGAAACAACCCAGACCGCCAGCUAAGGUCCCAAAGUCAUGGUUAAGUGGGAAACGAUGUGGGAAGGCACAGACAGCCAGGAUGUUGGCUUAGAAGCAGCCAUCAUUUAAAGAAAGCGUAAUAGCUCACUGGUCGAGUCGGCCUGCGCGGAAGAUGUAACGGGGCUAAACCAUGCACCGAAGCUGCGGCAGCGACACUAUGUGUUGUUGGGUAGGGGAGCGUUCUGUAAGCCUGCGAAGGUGACCUGUGAGGGUUGCUGGAGGUAUCAGAAGUGCGAAUGCUGACAUAAGUAACGAUAAAGCGGGUGAAAAGCCCGCUCGCCGGAAGACCAAGGGUUCCUGUCCAACGUUAAUCGGGGCAGGGUGAGUCGACCCCUAAGGCGAGGCCGAAAGGCGUAGUCGAUGGGAAACAGGUUAAUAUUCCUGUACUUGGUGUUACUGCGAAGGGGGGACGGAGAAGGCUAUGUUAGCCGGGCGACGGUUGUCCCGGUUUAAGCAUGUAGGCUGGUUAUCCAGGCAAAUCCGGAUAAUCAAGGCUGAGGUGUGAUGACGAGGCACUACGGUGCUGAAGUAACAAAUGCCCUGCUUCCAGGAAAAGCCUCUAAGCAUCAGGUAACAUCAAAUCGUACCCCAAACCGACACAGGUGGUCAGGUAGAGAAUACCAAGGCGCUUGAGAGAACUCGGGUGAAGGAACUAGGCAAAAUGGUGCCGUAACUUCGGGAGAAGGCACGCUGGUGUGUAGGUGAAGUCCCUGCGGAUGGAGCUGAGACCAGUCGAAGAUACCAGCUGGCUGCAACUGUUUAUUAAAAACACAGCACUGUGCAAACACGAAAGUGGACGUAUACGGUGUGACGCCUGCCCGGUGCCGGAAGGUUAAUUGAUGGGGUUAUCCGUAAGGAGAAGCUCUUGAUCGAAGCCCCGGUAAACGGCGGCCGUAACUAUAACGGUCCUAAGGUAGCGAAAUUCCUUGUCGGGUAAGUUCCGACCUGCACGAAUGGCGUAAUGAUGGCCAGGCUGUCUCCACCCGAGACUCAGUGAAAUUGAACUCGCUGUGAAGAUGCAGUGUACCCGCGGCAAGACGGAAAGACCCCGUGAACCUUUACUAUAGCUUGACACUGAACAUUGAGCCUUGAUGUGUAGGAUAGGUGGGAGGCUUUGAAGCGUGGACGCCAGUCUGCGUGGAGCCAACCUUGAAAUACCACCCUUUAAUGUUUGAUGUUCUAACGUUGGCCCCUGACCGGGGUUGCGGACAGUGUCUGGUGGGUAGUUUGACUGGGGCGGUCUCCUCCCAAAGCGUAACGGAGGAGCACGAAGGUUAGCUAAUCCUGGUCGGACAUCAGGAGGUUAGUGCAAUGGCAUAAGCUAGCUUGACUGCGAGCGUGACGGCGCGAGCAGGUGCGAAAGCAGGUCAUAGUGAUCCGGUGGUUCUGAAUGGAAGGGCCAUCGCUCAACGGAUAAAAGGUACUCCGGGGAUAACAGGCUGAUACCGCCCAAGAGUUCAUAUCGACGGCGGUGUUUGGCACCUCGAUGUCGGCUCAUCACAUCCUGGGGCUGAAGUAGGUCCCAAGGGUAUGGCUGUUCGCCAUUUAAAGUGGUACGCGAGCUGGGUUUAGAACGUCGUGAGACAGUUCGGUCCCUAUCUGCCGUGGGCGCUGGAGAAUUGAGGGGGGCUGCUCCUAGUACGAGAGGACCGGAGUGGACGCAUCACUGGUGUUCGGGUUGUCAUGCCAAUGGCACUGCCCGGUAGCUAAAUGCGGAAGAGAUAAGUGCUGAAAGCAUCUAAGCACGAAACUUGCCCCGAGAUGAGUUCUCCCUGAGACUUUAAGUCUCCUGAAGGAACGUUAAAGACGAUGACGUUGAUAGGCCGGGUGUGUAAGCGCAGCGAUGCGUUGAGCUAACCGGUACUAAUGAACCGUGAGGCUUAACCUU